CUUUUGAUCAUAUGUCCUUUAACGAACACCGUGCACGUCUUCGACUCAUUACAAAAACCUAACAACCUACCUCGCAACACAAGAUUCAAAGCAUUGUUGAAUGCCGCAAUGAAAAGAGUGCGUGGACAAAUGGGAUCUACAUCCAGAGCCACAUUUCCAAAAUGGAUAGCAAGAAAGUGCUUUCAACAACCUCCUUCUUCCGUUGACUGCGGCUACUACGCGCUGAAGUUUAUG
Long non-coding RNA from Amaranthus tricolor (Joseph's coat), 234 nucleotides. RefSeq lists it as uncharacterized. The record is from RefSeq and is a predicted model, not a curated record. The transcript is spliced from 3 exons. NCBI's taxonomy places the organism in Eukaryota, Viridiplantae, Streptophyta, Magnoliopsida, Caryophyllales, Amaranthaceae.